RNAcentral lists this ribosomal RNA (426 nucleotides) under uncultured bacterium. Its description in RNAcentral is "partial 16S ribosomal RNA". It matches the Rfam family "Bacterial small subunit ribosomal RNA", at positions 354 to 796 of the family's 1533-position model. The record is from RNAcentral.
GUGAGGAAUUUUCCGCAAUGGGCGAAAGCCUGACGGAGCAAUGCCGCGUGAAGGAUGAAGGCCUAUGGGUUAUAAACUUCUUUUCUCAGAAAAGAAUUAUGACGGUAUCUGAGGAAUAAGCAUCGGCUAACUCUGUGCCAGCAGCCGCGGUAAGACAGAGGAUGCAAGCGUUAUCCGGAAUGAUUGGGCGUAAAGCGUCUGUAGGUUGUUUAAAAAGUAUUCUGUCAAAGAUUAGGGCUUAACCCUAGAUAGGCAGAAUAAACUUUUAAGCUAGAGUUUGGUAGAGGCAGAGGGAAUUCCCGGUGGAGCGGUGAAAUGCGUAGAUAUCGGGAGGAACACCAAAGGCGAAGGCACUCUGCUGGGCCAAUACUAACACUGAGAGACGAAAGCGAGGGGAGCAAAUGGGAUUAGAUACCCCUGUAGUCC